This is a long non-coding RNA of Triticum aestivum (bread wheat), 4512 nucleotides long. RefSeq lists it as uncharacterized. The record is from RefSeq and is a predicted model, not a curated record. Lineage: Eukaryota; Viridiplantae; Streptophyta; Magnoliopsida; Poales; Poaceae. The transcript has 7 exons.
GUGUGUGGCACCGCACAAACCAUACCCCCGAUCCAUAGGUUUUUCACCCUAUCCUCCCCUUUCCUCCCCUUCCCUUCGUCAACACAGCAGCCACACCUCCUCUCCCGUGCUUGCCGCCGCCACAGCCUCGCUGUGCCCGCCACUAGAUCUGCGCCCUCGAGGGUGACGGGAGCUGAAGACGAUGAGCAACGGCGCGUGGGGUUCGUGUAGGUCCUCGGCUCGUCCGUACCUCACCAGUCCGCCGGGCAAGCAAGGCCGCGGGAGACGAGCACACGAAGGUCAGCGGCAAGUGCUCCAGAGAGGAGAGAAGGCGGCACUCUAGGUGGCGGCGCUGUGCUAGCAAAAUCAAGUGGUGGCUGAGGUACACGAGAGCGAGGUGGUGCUGGAACGCAUGGGGCAGGUGGUGCUGGAACGCAUGGGGGCCAGCAGCAAGUCGCCGCAAGUGCACAACCACUCCGACGAGGUGGUGGUGGCCUACUUGCCCAUGGUGAGCCAUUGUUCUUUUCUUUGCUCCUCUCUUCUCAUGAAAAGGUUUGAUGGACGCCGAAGCCGUCUGCUCCAUCCGCCAGGAUGCUCAUAAAGUGGGAGGUGGAGGAGGCCAACGACUAGGAGAAGGAGCAUGGAUCAUAAUCGAUGUUAUGGAUAAAACUGCUAACAAAUUGUUGCAUCAUCAUGGACAAGGUGUCAAUACUACUAGGUAGGCAUAGUGAGUAUUCCACUUAUUAUGUCCACCUUGACACGUUUCAUGGAUUGUAUGAAUUAUUUUAAAUAUGUAAACCUACUUUGGUGUAUGUCAGUUUUAGGAUGGCAACUCGCCUUUUUUUCAUGCCUUCUUAACAGUUUUGGUUCUCAUGGGGUUUGAGAUGUGUAGAUCGAGUUCAACGGAUCAGUUGCAGGUGAGUAUGUAGUAUCCUUAUCUAUUUCAUAUGCUUGACUCCACUUUCAUUUUCCUAUGAUGUAUACAUUGGGCUCAGGGCUUUGGCCUGUUCCAUCCGAGGUGUAUCAUGCUUUAUCUGAAACUCAAGUAUACAUUUGGUGUUGUUGGGGCUUCUUUGAUUGAGAUGCGAAAGAGGGCAUAUGUGAUUUUUUUAGGCCAUCUGUCCAGGUAGUGACAUUCUAAUAUGCAAGGAAUGUGUUUAUUUGAUUUUUUUAUUCUGACAUACACUAAAGUAAUCAUGACCAUCGGUAAAAGGAAGACAGUCAAAACAUGAUUAUAUUUUGUCUUGGUAUACCUCAUUUAGUUGUCAUUUGUAUAUUUCAAGGAAAUUAUUCAAUUCUUAGUUAUCUUUCCAUUGCUAUUUUCCCUACUAUGCUUAUCGGAUGGGUAGAUAAUCUUAUAAGGGGAUGCAAUGGAUUUUUGUAUUUUGGAUUCUCUGGACUGAAUAGGUUAUAUUUUUAACCCAUAAAAAUUAAUUUGACUCCAAUAUGAUCAACUGUGACUCGGAAUAUUUUUCCCAAUAGUAUCGGACAAUAUUGUAGGCACCCACCCUCCAAAGUAUACAUUUGCAUUAUCUUAUUUGAUUAUUGGACUAACUGUCAACAAUCAUGUAUAUAGACUUCCCGGAGAAAUAAACCAAGAUGGGCAUUAUCUGGUACAGCACAAGGAACCUGCCCUCCUGCUUAGGUUCUGUAGCCAUGGCCCUCGAGUUAGCGGAGAAUGGUUAUGAUGAAGACUCUGAUUCCAGUUCUCAGAUCCUAUGUGCCUGCUUUAUUAUUCGGCUGCUGUGAGACAGGCCUUGUCGCCACCUCACUUGUCAUCGCAAUCGUCCCUACCUCACUUCCCUCUGCCCUCGAGGCAAGGCCGCUGGAUCUUUGCUGUUCCUUUUCACUGCACGGUAAGCUCGCAUUGACCAAUGACUGGUGGGCUCUCGCAGUGUACUGGUUGGCUGGGUCAACCGUUACAAGGUGCGUGUACGCCCUCUCCCUGCAUGCCGCGUGCGUGUCGCGUCAUUUGCAGGAGAGCCUGCGGCAGCCGCGCAUGGUUUCCUUUCUUGCGUGCGCGCCUGUUUCUUUCGCUGAAGGUGGGCUCUGUUUUGGUCUGGUCCCAUUUGUUUGUCAUUCAUGCGUGGUGCGUUGCGUCUCGUCUGCAUCUGGAGAGAGAGGCAGGGCUGACCAAUGCAUGUGCGCGUGAGGCCUGGCAGAUGCAUCGUGUGCGACUUGUGCGUGCCUCACCUUCGUCUGCAGUUGCAGAGAGGAUGGGCUGGCAAAAUAUCUCGCGAGCCUGGCCGCCUCCAAUUUCUCUUCCCGCUCUCUAAUCUCUCUUGAUCUACUACCGCCGCCACCACCGCCUCCUCUUGGUUUCUGAUACUUCCACUCCGACGAAGAUCACCGUGCCGCUGGUUCUUAGAUCCCGGGAGAAGGGGAACAGUAGCCGCGCCAGGCGGCAUGCCUCGUCCGAGCCGCAUGGUGGCCAACACAUCGGCGGUUUCAUGGCCGAUUCUGGGCGGCACCUCGUCAGUGUCGUGGAUGGCUUCGGCAGCGCCUUGGCAUUCCAGAGGGGCGAAGUGGGACGGCCAGCAUGCGUGGGGCACAAAGGUCACGAGUAGGAGGGAGAUGCGCUGGAGGUGAUGGAGGAGGAAGUCGGAGGCGGCAUCAGCGUCCAUGGCGACGCCACCCCGGGAACCCUCCUACACACCUUGGCAUGGCUCGUCCGUGCCACAUGGUGGCCGAGAUGCUGGUACCUCCUCUCUCUGGCUUCUCUCUUAUUUGCCCCUUUGUCUCGGGGAUGAGGGCGUCGGUGCAUCAUCAUGAGUGGAUCAAGAGCAGACCGUAGCAGCAAGAGCAAGGAUCUGGUGGUGGUUCAUGAUAUUGUACUGCAUUACUAAAUGUUCUAGGGUUGGAGAGAGCUUAGGUAAGUGCUCAGGUUCUAUGUGGAUAACAAUAACAAAAAAAUAGAAAUCCAAAUCUCUAAAAAACUGACGGAAUCAUGUAUAUAUAUAUUUUCUAGAAUGUACUCUUUCUGAUUCCUAUUAUAAGAUGUUUCGUUUGUAUGCUAUUUUUUUCCUUUUGUAAUUUGUUUUCUUUCUUUGGUGCUGCUUGAAGUGAUAUUUUGAUAUUCAGUUUUUUUUUUUGAAAUUACAAGUCAGACGCUUUAUUUUUUAGUAUACAUAUUAACUGAUGCACAACUGAAUGCCAUUUUAUCCUGUUUGGCAUAAUGAUGGUAGUGAUUUGAAGCCAACCCAGAACUAUUAGUGAUUCUGACAAGUGGUGCUCUAAUAUUCAGUUGUUUUCUGAAAUUAAAUUUAGUUAGUUUUGAGUUUGAGUAAAAAAAUAGUACAAAAAAGUGGUGUUCUAAUAUAUUUUUGUGUUAGGAAAUUAGAAGUUAUUUCUUUUUAGUUGAAGCCCAUCCAAGUAGCAUUUUAUUGUUUCUGUAGGUCUACCCAGUAAUGUGAGUCAGUGUAUUGAUUUGCCAAUUCUUAAUCAGUAUAUAAAAAUUCUUGAGCUGAUGUGAUGCCUGCAAUGCUUUUUUGUCUCCGCUAUUUUCUUCCUUUAGUGUACAAACUGUUUUAUUCCGAGUUUCUGGCUUCUGUGUGCAUAGUAGGUUCAGAAUCAAUUUGUAAAAACACAAACUUUGCCAUGUUUUCUCGCCAUCAUCCACCUCCUGGUCCUUGUUCGUAACCCCACUGUACUUCCAGAGAAAUACAACUUAUUUAUUAGGUUUCUCAGUAUCUCAAAUAUGUAGUAUAGCUGCUAAUGCUUCUUCGUUUUGUUGUAUCAUUUCUGCAUAUGUAAUUUUAAUUGUCUGAGAGGGGGAAGAGGAGAAACGGCUGCGUCGGACGGUGCUCGUCAUGAUGUGCCUGUGAGUACCCUCCCCCUACCUUAGUUGUUGUUCUCCUUGUUUACCCCAUGAUGGCUGCUCCGCGCGGAUCUGCGCCUCCGUCCAUCGCAGGGAUAGGAGGGCUAGAGCAGUCACCGUCGAGCAGGGAGGCAGCUGGAGUUGUCCGUUAUUGAGGAAAGAAUGGCAGCUCGAGGAGACUUGAGGCAGCGGUGGCGGGGAGUGUGUGUGUGUGUGUGUGUGUGUGUGUGUGUGUGUGUUCAGAACAGAUGUGUUUUCAGAACUUAUUACUUUUGAUACACUGCCCCUUUAUGUUGAGCAGAUGCGGAUCAUAUUUAGAGAGAUUAAGAUACUCAAGACCAAGGAAUGCAUACUGAAGGCUGCCAAUGAUACCCUUCAACAAAGGCCCUAACAAAUAAAUGGAAGAAUCUAUUGGGUGGUACUCUCACUGCUUAGCAAAGAGAAUGAAGGGUCAACAUUUACGGUCAUGCUGCCCACGCUUCAGAAAAAAAGGCAAAAAUGUUUUACGGCUCAAGCAUGGGAAGUAUAGACCAAAGAAUGUGGUUUACAGUUUCCCUAUUUUGUUGGAUCAACUAAUGUGUUGAUUUGUUACUUCAUGUCAGUGAUGUUUGUAAUCAAGAAUCAGGAAAGCAUACCAGUAUAUUGCAAUUCCAAAACUUAGAAAUAUGAGAAGGAUGCCCAAACCUACAGAUUUGUAAUUAACAUUUUGCACUACA